UGCUCCGUGGUGUAACUGGCAACACGUCUGACUCUGGAUCAGAAAAGUCCAGGUUCGAGCCCUGGCGGAGCAA
RNAcentral lists this transfer RNA (73 nucleotides) under Bacteroidales bacterium. RNAcentral's name for it is "tRNA-Gln". It matches the Rfam family "tRNA". Rfam says of the family: Transfer RNA (tRNA) molecules are approximately 80 nucleotides in length. Their secondary structure includes four short double-helical elements and three loops (D, anti-codon, and T loops). Lineage: Bacteria; Pseudomonadati; Bacteroidota; Bacteroidia; Bacteroidales. The record is from RNAcentral.